AUUGGACGCUGGCGGCAGGCCUAACACAUGCAAGUCGAGCGGAUGAAGGGAGCUUGCUCCUGGAUUCAGCGGCGGACGGGUGAGUAAUGCCUAGGAAUCUGCCUGGUAGUGGGGUAUAACGUCCGGAAACGGGCGCUAAUACCGCAUACGUCCUGAGGGAGAAAGUGGGGGAUCUUCGGACCUCACGCUAUCAGAUGAGCCUAGGUCGGAUUAGCUAGUUGGUGGGGUAAAGGCCUACCAAGGCGACGAUCCGUAACUGGUCUGAGAGGAUGAUCAGUCACACUGGAACUGAGACACGGUCCAGACUCCUACGGGAGGCAGCAGUGUGGAAUAUUGGACAAUGGGCGAAAGCCUGGUCCAGCCAUGCCGCGUGUGUGAAGAAGGUCUUCGGAUUGUAAAGCACUUUAAGUUGGGAGGAAGGGCAGUAAGUUAAUACCUUGCUGUUUUGACGUUACCAACAGAAUAAGCACCGGCUAACUUCGUG
RNAcentral lists this ribosomal RNA (484 nucleotides) under uncultured bacterium. RNAcentral describes it as "partial 16S ribosomal RNA". It matches the Rfam family "Bacterial small subunit ribosomal RNA", at positions 30 to 507 of the family's 1533-position model. The record is from RNAcentral.